This 421-nucleotide RNase P RNA is filed under the name Mycobacteroides sp. CBMA 326. Its description in RNAcentral is "RNase P RNA component class A". It matches the Rfam family "Bacterial RNase P class A". From Rfam's summary of the family: Ribonuclease P (RNase P) is a ubiquitous endoribonuclease, found in archaea, bacteria and eukarya as well as chloroplasts and mitochondria. Its best characterised activity is the generation of mature 5'-ends of tRNAs by cleaving the 5'-leader elements of precursor-tRNAs. RNAcentral also lists the same sequence under 1 other name. Lineage: Bacteria; Bacillati; Actinomycetota; Actinomycetes; Mycobacteriales; Mycobacteriaceae. The record is from RNAcentral.
CGAGUUGGCCGGGCGACUGCGCGUCGUGGGAGUAAUCCCGCGGCACGAGGAAAGUCCGGACUUCACAGAGCAGGGUGAUUGCUAACGGCAAUCCGAGGUGACUCGCGGGACAGUGCCACAGAAAACAAACCGCCGCCACCGGGUCUUUCGGGAUUCGGCGGCGGUAAGGGUGAAACGGUGCGGUAAGAGCGCACCAGCGGACCGGGUGACCGGUUCGGCUCGGUAAACCCCACCCGAAGCAAGGCCAAAAGGCUGUGCGUGCACAGCUGCGGAAGCGUUCGAGGGCUGCUCGCCCGAGCUUCCGGGUAGGCCGCUCGAGGUACCCGGCGACGGUGUGCCCAGAUGGAUGGUCGUCGCCGCGUGGCCGGGGUAAUGCCCAGGUCAUGCGGAACAGGAUCCGGCUUACAGGCCAACUCGCCCG